ACAAAGAUCUACGAAAUAGCAGGUAGAUUACUUUCCAAGAAAGGGCAAAGAAGUCAAAAAAGGACUGCACCAGACAACCCCGGGCAUGGCUCAAACCACAAUGCCAGGGCAGUAUAAAUUCAUCUCUUCUCCUCUUAGGUUUGGAUAUCAAAACCUCCCCAUCCUAGCUCAAACGUUUCGUCCCCUGCUCCGUUCUUUUGUUGCAGCGGACGCUGAGAUGAAAGAAACCGAAACAGCGGUGAGGGUGUUCGCCUGUGGGAUUCGUGGUUAGGCCAGCCACAAAAGUACUCGUCAAUCAUUACUUGAAGCAGAAAAGAAGAAUGAAUAGUAGUAGCCCGUUUCGCUCGUGUUUUCUCUUUGAAAAAUACGAGCAUAGGUCAUGCACGAAUAUCACCUAAAUGCCACUUCUUCGUGGCAUAGGUCCCUGAUCAGAUAAUCCGCUCUUGACCUUCCCAAGGAAUACAAGAUGAGAAGGCUGAUAAUUAGAUAGUUCCAAGGUGAUACUCAGAUAUGAGAAAAGCAAUUGUGAGAAGAUUAAGAUACCUUGAAGAAGUGGUUACAUUGUUGAAGAAAAUUUCAACAAAGGCAGUACGCUUAUUGUGGAGUACAAUGAGCUUUGCAUUAGAAAUUAAAUUUUACUUUUCUAUCUGUAUUCUCCAAAUUAGUUCAUAGCUAUUGCACUUUAAUUAUCAGAACAGCAUCGACUAAUUCAACAGUGUAGUAUAAUGAGUAUCUUCUCUCUUGUGGGGAUGCUUAUGAAAGAAUACAAGUAUCUCAUUAAGAGUUCUCAGCUCAAGGACUUGGUCAUAUGAAGACCUGUUCUCAGCUCAAGAAUAUACAGUAGAAAAAGUCAGACUCAACCUUAAGUUUGAAGAUUAGUUGUAUUUCCAGUUCUCCCUUUUAGCAUUAUCUUAUGUUCUUAUGUAUCUAUUUUUUGAUGUAAUUCUACGAUGGAAUCAUUCAUGCUACUUUUUCAUUUUCUUUUGGCCUAGAAUCUGUAAUGCCAGUUGAUGAUGAUAUUUCAAGAAAGCUCAAAAGUGAAUAAAGAAAUAUGAUUUUUGCUGCUGAAA
This is a long non-coding RNA of Syzygium oleosum, 1070 nucleotides long. RefSeq lists it as uncharacterized. NCBI's taxonomy places the organism in Eukaryota, Viridiplantae, Streptophyta, Magnoliopsida, Myrtales, Myrtaceae. The record is from RefSeq and is a predicted model, not a curated record. The transcript is spliced from 2 exons.